RNAcentral lists this ribosomal RNA (477 nucleotides) under Triticum aestivum (bread wheat). RNAcentral describes it as "partial small subunit ribosomal RNA". Lineage: Eukaryota; Viridiplantae; Streptophyta; Magnoliopsida; Poales; Poaceae. The record is from RNAcentral.
AUGGCACGGCAGCCAGCCGCGAUCUUGCGCAUCGUCGUCAUCCUCACCGUCGUCUCCGUCGCCGCCGCCGGCCGCGCCCUCCACCAGGUCCAGCCACCUGCUACCCCCGCAGCGGCAGCAUUUUUCCCGCCGCCCACUUCCCCUGCAGCGGGGCCGGGACUCCAAACACCGCCGCCGCCUCCGGUGCCCGCUGGGACCUCAGCGAUUCUUCAGCAGCCACCAGCCGACCAGCAGCAGGGCCCGGCCGCAGCCCCGUACUGCUACUACAUUCAUGUCACCAGGGUCGGGCUCCUCUGCGUGCUGGUCUCGUUCAUGUCAGGCUGCUUUCUCAGCGCGCUCUUUAUCGUCUGCGUCUCGCGCUCGACGAGGGCGGCGGCGGCAGCACGGCCGGAAGACGUCGAGGAGGAAGGUGCUAGUGUGGAGAACGGCGCCAUGCAGUGUCUGUCCUGUCUCACUAGAGUUGCGGCAGGUGUAUGA